RNAcentral lists this ribosomal RNA (242 nucleotides) under uncultured bacterium. Its description in RNAcentral is "partial 16S ribosomal RNA". It matches the Rfam family "Bacterial small subunit ribosomal RNA", at positions 15 to 248 of the family's 1533-position model. The record is from RNAcentral.
GAUCCUGGCUCAGUAUGAACGCUAGCUACAGGCUUAACGCAUGCAAGUCGAGGGGCAGCAUGAACUUAGCUUGCUAAGUUUGAUGGCGACCGGCGCACGGGUGAGUAACACGUAUCCAACCUUCCGUUUACUCAGGGAUAGCCUUUCGAAAGAAAGAUUAAUACCUGAUAGUAUGGUGAGAUUGCAUGGUAACACCAUUAAAGAUUUAUUGGUAAACGAUGGGGAUGCGUUCCAUUAGGUAG